This 23-nucleotide microRNA is filed under the name Bos taurus (domestic cattle). RNAcentral describes it as "bta-miR-2324". The record is from miRBase by way of RNAcentral. Lineage: Eukaryota; Metazoa; Chordata; Mammalia; Artiodactyla; Bovidae.
UGGGGUUGGGGCAGUGUGGCUGU